RNAcentral lists this ribosomal RNA (503 nucleotides) under uncultured bacterium. Its description in RNAcentral is "partial 16S ribosomal RNA". It matches the Rfam family "Bacterial small subunit ribosomal RNA", at positions 29 to 523 of the family's 1533-position model. The record is from RNAcentral.
AACGAACGCUGGCGGCAGGCUUAACACAUGCAAGUCGAGCGGGGUGAUGGUGCUUGCACUAUCACUUAGCGGCGGACGGGUGAGUAAUGCUUAGGAAUCUGCCUAUUAGUGGGGGACAACAUCUCGAAAGGGAUGCUAAUACCGCAUACGUCCUACGGGAGAAAGCAGGGGAUCACUUGUGACCUUGCGCUAAUAGAUGAGCCUAAGUCGGAUUAGCUAGUUGGUGGGGUAAAGGCCUACCAAGGCGACGAGCUGUAGCGGGUCUGAGAGGAUGAUCCGCCACACUGGGACUGAGACACGGCCCAGACUCCUACGGGAGGCAGCGGUGGGGGAUAUUGGACAAUGGGGGGAACCCUGAUCCAGCCAUGCCGCGUGUGUGAAGAAGGCCUUAUGGUUGUAAAGCACUUUAAGCGAGGAGGAGGCUCUUUUGGUUAAUACCCAAGAUGAGUGGACGUUACUCGCAGAAUAAGCACCGGCUAACUCUGUGCCAGCCGCCGCCGUAA